UACGUAGGUGGCAAGCGUUGUUCGGAAUUACUGGGCGUAAAGUGUGCGCAGGCGGCCGCGCAAGUCGAGUGUGAAAGCCCCGGGCUUAACUUGGGAAUUGCGCUCGAAACUACGUGGCUGGAGUAUGGCAGAGGAAGGUGGAAUUCCACGUGUAGCGGUGAAAUGCGUAGAGAUGUGGAGGAACACCGAUGGCGAAGGCAGCCCCCUGGGUUAACACUGACGCUCAGGCACGAAAGCGUGGGGAGCAAACAGG
RNAcentral lists this ribosomal RNA (253 nucleotides) under uncultured bacterium. RNAcentral's name for it is "partial 16S ribosomal RNA". It matches the Rfam family "Bacterial small subunit ribosomal RNA", at positions 524 to 776 of the family's 1533-position model. The record is from RNAcentral.